AACGAACGCUGGCGGCAUGCCUAACACAUGCAAGUCGAACGAUUGCCUUCGGGUGAUAGUGGCGCACGGGUGCGUAACGCGUGGGAAUAUGCCCUUAGGUUCGGAAUAACAGCUGGAAACGGCUGCUAAUACCGGAUGAUAUCGCGAGAUCAAAGAUUUAUCGCCUGAGGAUGAGCCCGCGUUGGAUUAGGUAGUUGGUGGGGUAAAGGCCUACCAAGCCGACGAUCCAGAGCUGGUCUGAGAGGAUGAUCAGCCACACUGGGACUGAGACACGGCCCAGACUCCUACGGGAGGCAGCAGUGUGGAAUAUUGUACAAUGGGCCCAAGCCUGAUCCAGCAAUGCCGCGUGAGUGAUGAAGGCCCUAGUGUUGUAAAUCUCUUUUACCCGGGAAGAUAAUGACUGUACCGGGAGAAUAAGCCCCGGCUAACUCCGUG
Molecule: ribosomal RNA, 435 nt
Filed under: uncultured bacterium
Lineage: Bacteria
Description: partial 16S ribosomal RNA
Rfam family: Bacterial small subunit ribosomal RNA
Source: RNAcentral